UAAAUAAAAUUUUUGUAGUAGGUAUAUAUGCAAUUGAAAGUUUUUGCGUGUAUGGUGGGUUGCUGACCACUAAAGCGUCGUUUUGUGCAACAGCCGUUUUGUGUCCUGUUCGAAUUCGAGUUUUUGUUAAGAAAAAACAACAAUAUCAAUUUGCCCACAAACCGGGUCGCCGGCGCUCAUUCGCGCUCGAACCGUUCGGGCAACAUCACCUACCAAAGCGGCAAACAUGUCUGAAGACAAAGAGUUACACUUUCUGAAAUCAAUCUAUAAACUUCUUGAAGAAGAGUGCGUUAUUGUUGAUACCAACAGUCAAUCUGUGACUAAUUAUGUAGAUCCUGAAGAACUUAAG
Molecule: long non-coding RNA, 349 nt
Organism: Dalotia coriaria
Lineage: Eukaryota; Metazoa; Arthropoda; Insecta; Coleoptera; Staphylinidae
Exons: 2
Source: RefSeq, a predicted model, not a curated record